CCUCCCUCUCCUAAAAUGGUUCAUCACGAGAUUCCUACUCACAAACCCUAAGCGGCUCAAGCGUUAUGGCUCGUGGGCUAUGGUCACUGGAGCCACAGAUGGAAUCGGACUAGCCUUCGCUCACGAGCUAGCAAAACACGGCCUCAACCUUAUCCUAGUCAGCAGAAACCCUUUGAAGCUCGCCUCCGUCUCCGAUGAUUUCCGACAAGAGUUUCCACAAAUAAAGAUCAAGAUCAUUCCCUUUGACUUCUCCUCUGGUAAUUCUAAAUGCACUUUCUUACUUUUUCAAUGCAGUCUGGCCUCACUUCUUCUUCGGCCAAUCGUAUUGAGCUAGUUCACAAAGAGUUAUCGACUACUCGUUUGUGUGUGUGUGCUCACGCAUAUAAUUACUACAUGAUUGUAACAUUGGAUAGUUUAUUGUUCUUUCUCAAAAGAAAAAUCUUGAUUCAACAGCCAGGAUGAAAAAUAUAAUUACUCCGUACAAAUAAUUCGAAACAUAAAUGAAUAUAUAGAGUACACAAUUACAUUUAGAAGUGUAUUUGUAAGAGAGCCGCAAAAUAUACUAGACUUUGUUAUAGUAUAACGAAAAAAUAAAAUAAUACAUGCACUUACAAGAUUAAAUACAAGAUUAAAAUUUAAAACCCAAAUGUUUCUUAAAAUACAUAUUUGUUAAUUAUUUCGAACUCUAAUACAAAUUUGAGCACUAUGUAUUUUGUUAAGAGUAUUUAUGGACCUAAACUCUAUUAGAAUCAUUGCCCGAAAAAAAAUUCUAUUAGCAUCCAAUUAAUUUAGGAUAAUAAGAUGAUUUCCUGACAAUAAUGAAUAAUCCAAGAAAACAACUGUACGUUGCUCAUUUGCAAUGGUUCCGUAGUAAAACGACAAGGAGGGUAAACGCCAUCAUGCCAUGUUAGGUUCAUCCAUCACAAAGCUAUAGACGUUGGAGAAAUUAUUGAAAUUAAAUAUUUAAUAAUAAACCAAUUCAAAUUAAGAACUCAGUUGGGCAUAAUUAAGUAAAUUUUAUAUUGUGAUUUUAAUGUUUAGAAAAACCAUUCGGGUUUUACAAAGAUUAGUAUGAACUUCGGCUUAGGAUCAACCGUUUUAGUUUCAGUAAAAUCAAUGGAAAACAUUUCAUUUCUUAAAGGUGAUUGCAUCAUAAAUAUUUACUUGUUUUGUAAAAAACUUUUUUUACCACUUAUUUAGGCGAUAUACUUCUGAGUUUCCGUCUACGAAAAUGAGACACAAAACUCAAGAAAUAUAGCAAAUGUGAUAUAGAAUUAGAAAUAUCAAAUAUGUAUUUGUGAGUAGUGAAUAAUGAUAAAAUUAUUCAGAAGGAGGAUAUGGAGCCAUCGAGGAGGGAAUCAAAGGCGUUGAAGUUGGAAUUCUUAUCAACAACGUGGGGAUAACUUAUCCACGAGCCAUGUUCUUCCACGAGGUUGACCAACUUACAUGGACUAAAAUCGUUAGGGUUAAUCUUGAAGCCACCACUUGGGUCACAAGAUCACUCAUCGGACCAAUGCUUCACCGCCGUCGAGGAGCCAUCGUCAAUAUUAGCUCCGGUGCUGCCGUUGUUGUCCCUUCUCAUCCUCUCUACGCCAUCUACGCCGCCACCAAAGCGUUAAGACUUUCCACGCUCACUUUUCUUUUAUUUAGUUUUUCAUCUGGUCAAUGCACAUUUCAAAAUUAUAGUACUCAUGAACAACAUAACCGUGCAGAACUAUUAGGUCUUAAGAAAAAUAUUUAGGACACUAAUUUUUUUUUUACAAGAUAUGUUAUGUCAAUUAAGACGGAAAUUUAUCUAUAACUAUAGAGAUAAGGACAUAACUUGUAGAUAAAGAUAACUAUGUAUUGUAGUUAUCUAAAUCCCCUAAAGGUUAGGAGAUCCUUCUUGUAUAUAUACACUAUGACGUACAUCAAUAUACACAACAGAUUACAUUCUAUUUUAUGGUAUCAGAGCUAAGGCACGAUACUUGACCUUUUUCUCUGCUUUCGCUUACAUAUUUUUUCUCUACUACAUCAAAUCGUGUUGAUCGUUUUUCAUGUCGUCAACAACGAGUUCUUCUACUUCUACUUCUUCUACUACGGAGAGCUCUGUUUCAAACUCUCCUUACAACCUUCAUCCCUCUGAUAAUCCUGGUGCCCUAAUUACACCAGUACUUCUCCGAGGAGAUAACUACUCCGAGUGGGCAGUAGAGCUGUGGAACUCUCUACAGGCUAAACAAAAGAUCGGAUUUCUCGAUGGCUCAGUACUUAAACCUACCACCAAUCCCGAUCUUGCCCGCUGGACCUCUACUAAUUCUAUGAUAGUAGGCUGGAUUCGAACGUCUAUCGAUGCUCAAGUUCGUUCAACCGUGACUCAUGUUGCAGAUGCUUCGAAACUGUGUGAAUCUCUAAAACAACGUUUCUCAGUCAAGAAUGCCGUACGCAAGCAUCUUCUUCAAGACGAAAUCACUAAUUGUAAACAGAAUGGCCAGUCUGUUCUGGAGUAUUAUGGCCGUCUUUCCAAGUUAUGGGAAGAAAUUCAAAACUUCAAACCCGUUGUGUCUUGUACAUGCACUGCUUCUGCUGAACUUGAGAAGGAGCGAGAGGACGCUAAAAUUCACAAGUUUCUCUUUGGUCUCGAUGAAGUGAGGUUCAAUACCAUUCGAUCUCAAAUCAUUGACGAGGACCCUCUUCCAGAAUUAAACACCGUUUAUUAAAGAGUCAUUCGAGCUGAGCAGCACAUCAACAACAUGCGCACUGCAGAUACAAAACAGGACGCAGUUGGCUUCUCAAUCAAAUCAGAUAUCACUCCCGCUUCUAUAACUGCCGCAGCUGUUGCGACUCGAAGUCGUGAUCCUGCUCGAUCUUGUACUCACUGUAAACGUACAGGACAUGAAGCCUCCGAAUGUUUUCUUCUACAUGGCUACCCGGAAUGGUUUCUCGAACAACAACAACGCAAUUCUUCACGCAACUUCUCUGGAAACAGAGGACGUGGAGGACGUUCAUCCAGCUCCAGUGGACGUGGACGUGGACGUUUGAAUGCUGCCUCUGCUUCUGUUAGUGCUCCAUCAUCUACCUCUACAACCGAUCAAAUUUCAGCUCUCAUCACCUUGCUUCAGUCACAACAAUCUCAACUCUCCACUGAUCGCUUGUCUGGUAAAACUGAUCUUUCUGAUGUUAUUAUCGAUACUGGUGCCUCUCACCAUAUGACAGGCGACUUGUCUCUCUUACAAGAUGCAAUAGAUAUUAUACCGUCUGCGGUUACUUUCCCGGACGGCACUGCUUCGCGCGCUACAAAAAUUGGCCGCAUAUCUCUUACUAAAGAUUACAUACUUGUUAAUGUGCUUUAUGUACCAAACUUCAAUUGCACAUUGAUCUCAGUAUCAAGACUACUCAAGCAAACCGGUUGUAUUGCUAUAUUUACUGACACUCUUUGUGUUUUACAGGACCGUUUUACGAGGACCUUGAUUGGAGCCGGUGAAGAAAGAGAUGGGGUGUACUACUUCAAGGGUGUCAAAGUUGCUCGUUCACAUCAGACUUCUGCGAAAACUAUUUCUCAUGCAGUCCUAUGGCAUCGACGUCUUGGUCACCCUUCCUACAAAGUGCUUUCUACAUUACCUGUGUUUUCUGAUUUAAAAGUCGAUUUUGAGGAUUCUCACUCAUGUGAUAUUUGUUUUCGUGCCAAGCAAACACGUUCAGUCUUUCAUGAUAGUUUUAAUAAAGCUUUGGAACCUUUUUCAUUAAUUCAUUGUGACGUUUGGGGUCCGUAUAGAACUCUAUCAUCAUGUGGUGCUGCUUACUUUCUUACCAUUGUUGAUGACUACUCUAGAGCUGUGUGGACAUAUCUUAUGUUGGAAAAGUCAGAAGUUAAGGACUUGAUCAAGAACUUCUGUGUUAUGAAUGGAAAACAGUUCGGGAAACAAGUAAAAACCAUUCGAACAGAUAAUGGCUCUGAGUUCAUGGUCUUGUCUUCAUAUUUUCGUCAAAAUGGUAUCCAACACCAAACCUCCUGCGUCGACACACCUCAACAGAACGCUCGCGUUGAACGCAAGCAUAGGCACAUCCUCAACAUCGCACGCUCACUUCUGUUUCAAGCCAAACUACCAGUUACUUUUUGGGGCGAGAGAGCAUACUCACAGCGGCUCAUCUCAUUAACCGGACACCGUCUGUUGUUCUACAUGGAAGUACUCCGUAUGAACUGUUACACGGUUCAAAACCUUCAUACGACUCUUUACGCACCUUUGGAUGCCUCUGCUACGCUCACAGACGACCUCGCAACAGAGACAAGUUCAGUGAUCGCAGCCGAAAGUGUCUUUUUGUGGGCUAUCCCUACGGAAAGAAAGCCUGGAAACUUUAUGAUAUCGACAGUAAUGAAUUCUUUGCCAGCCGCGACGUUGUUAUUCUUGAAGAACAGUUUCCAGGAGUUACAGAUACAUCAUAUGUUACACCACCAAUCUAUCAACCAGAUGCUACAAUCGAUGACUGGUUACUUCCUACUACACCAGCAUGCUCCGGUGAUACUACUGCACCAGUGAUUUCUACCACUACACCAGUGGCUUCUGACCCUGCACCAGUGGUCCCUUCUCCAUUACUACCUAUUACACAAACUACAGACGUUGCUCUUCCACCAGCGGCACAUGAUACUACUAAUGCGUCUGAGUCUCCAUCACCUGGAUCUUCCUUUACUCAACCUAGUUCUCCGAUUGCACAGUCUACGCCUGCUACUACUAUUUCAGACACUCCUCCAUCACCUGGUCUUCCUGAGUUACUAGGUCGUGGUCAUCGUAGCCACAAGCCGUCUGUUCUUCUCAAAGACUACGUGGUUAAUGUUUCUACAGUUAGUACACCCCCCAUCACUUCUCUUUCAUCGACUCCUACUUAAGGUCCUCCUGUCUCGGUCUCAGGUAUUACUCCCUAUCCCAUCGACUCUUACUUGUCUCAAGCUCGUUUCUCAGUUGCACAUACAGCUUUUUUGGCUGCACUAACGUCUACUAACGAUCCUAAGUCUUUCAAAGAAGCUUCUCUUGAUGAUAUUUGGAAUAACUCCAUGACUGACGAGUACACAGCGCUUGACGCAAAUCACACAUGGGACAUUACCUCAUUACCAAAAGGCAAAAAGGCGAUAGCUUGCCAAUGGAUCUAUAAAACGAAGUUUGACGCCAACGGCAAGGAAACUCGCAAAAAGUCUCGUUUGGUAGCUUGUGGGAAUCGUCAAAGAGAAGGCCUUGAUUAUACGGAUACAUUCGCUCCAGUAGCCAAACCAACUACCGUGCGUCUGCUCCUUGAGAUUGCUGCUACUAAAAGAUGGGAAAUUCAUCAGAUGGAUGUUCAUAAUGCGUUCUUGCAUGGUGAUUUAAAAGAGGAAGUUUAUAUGAAGUUGCCACCUGGUUUCGAAGAUCCUGAUCCUACAAAGGUUUGUCGUCUCCGCAAGUCCAUUUAUGGGCUCAAACAAUCACCUAGAUGUUGGUUUGAAAAACGCGGCUCAGGCGUUAUGGCUCGUGGGCUAUGGUCACUGGAGCCACAGAUGGAAUCGGACUAGCCUUCGCUCACGAGCUAGCAAAACACGGCCUCAACCUUAUCCUAGUCAGCAGAAACCCUUUGAAGCUCGCCUCCGUCUCCGAUGAUUUCCGACAAGAGU
This 5617-nucleotide long non-coding RNA is filed under the name Brassica napus (rape). Its description in RNAcentral is "long non-coding RNA (BNAP_LNC005922)". Lineage: Eukaryota; Viridiplantae; Streptophyta; Magnoliopsida; Brassicales; Brassicaceae. The record is from RNAcentral.